CCAACACUUUACUACCACUUUCACUCCCUCACUACUCACGAUAUCGGACAUACUUACCCUCUCGCUGACUCAAAGAAUAGUAAGUAUAAACUAUUUCCUUUUAGACACUCACAAUGACCAAAACGUUGUCCAUUAUUUAUAGGUGUCCGUUAUCGUCAGUUCCUAAGGGGAUAUAAGAAUCCCUAGACGCUGUAGAGCGGGCAUCAAAUAUGGCGCUCUUGGCUGGGUUGUACAAACGUUCUGUAUUAUUUACAAACCUGUAAACUAUUUAUCCACUUACAAGUGAUUAUAAUUUAACCAAACUCGUAUAAGUAGCAUUGUUUGUCAUUAUAAC
Cinara cedri is the source of this 334-nucleotide non-coding RNA. The record is from the annotation of a GenBank genome assembly. Lineage: Eukaryota; Metazoa; Arthropoda; Insecta; Hemiptera; Aphididae.